Molecule: long non-coding RNA, 557 nt
Filed under: Dromaius novaehollandiae (emu)
Lineage: Eukaryota; Metazoa; Chordata; Aves; Casuariiformes; Dromaiidae
Description: lncRNA (ENSDNVG00000004867.1)
Source: RNAcentral
GAGGAAAAGUCAGAUGCAGAGACUCUUCAUUUUUAAUGCUAAAACGUAUUGUGAUCCAAAGCAUUCAGACACAGUAAAGAAUCUGAUAUCUUAGGAGGAAAAAAACCAGACAAAUAGGCUAUCCAGUCACAUCUAAGUGGAAACAUAUUUUCCUGAGCCAUAGUGUUUGUGCUCUUCAAUCUUCCUUAGUGACUUCGCUCUCACAGUACCAGCCCAUUACCUAUGAAAACACAUUCUUUCUUUCUUACAGAUACUAGGAGAAUUGAAAGAUGUGUCCAGGAAAAUGAAACCUAUGUCUAAUGUUUGUGGAGGCGCACAAGGAAACAACAGGAACAACAGUUCUUUUAGGCUUCAAAUCAAAGAAUAUUUAUAAACAUUUUGUGAAGAGUAGUAUAUAUCUAGUCAUUUCUGCUCUGCUCCCUUUGAGUCUGUUCCUUCUCGACCAGUACAGACCUUUGAGGAGGCACUGUCAGCUGGGCAUACGUAAAUGUAGGAAAUGAAGGUUCAAGUUCCUGAUCCGGUGAGUAAGAGGAUGUACAUGACUUGUUUUAAAUGGU